UUAAUUGUAGUUGCACCCAAGUGACCAAAACUCAAAUAGAGAGACACACACGCACGCACGCAUACGCACACACAGAAACACACACACACACACAAUGAAGAAGUGCACACGUCAGUGCCACGAAAUCUGCUCAAAAUUUCAAUGUCGAUAGAUAGGAGCACGACGAACCUAACGAAACACACGCGACGACGACAUUGGACACAUCCAUACCGGAGAUAGUCCAGUGCUUUCUUUUUGUUUGUUUGUCCCUCC
Molecule: long non-coding RNA, 252 nt
Organism: Drosophila grimshawi
Lineage: Eukaryota; Metazoa; Arthropoda; Insecta; Diptera; Drosophilidae
Exons: 3
Source: RefSeq, a predicted model, not a curated record